This 439-nucleotide ribosomal RNA is filed under the name uncultured bacterium. RNAcentral's name for it is "partial 16S ribosomal RNA". It matches the Rfam family "Bacterial small subunit ribosomal RNA", at positions 339 to 795 of the family's 1533-position model. The record is from RNAcentral.
CUACGGGACGCUCCAGUGAGGAAUAUUGCGCAAUGGGGGGAACCCUGAUGCAGCAACGCCGCGUGGAGGAUGACGCAUUUCGGUGUGUAAACUCCUUUUAUAUGUCAAGAAAAUGACGGUAGCAUAUGAAUAAGCACCGGCUAACUCCGUGUCAGCAGCCGCGGUAAUACGGAGGGUGCAAGCGUUACUCGGAAUCACUGGGCGUAAAGGACGCGUAGGCGGGUUGGAAAGUCAGGUGUGAAAUCCUACAGCUUAACUGUAGAACUGCACUUGAAACUUCUAAUCUAGAGUAUGGGAGGGGGAGAUGGAAUUAGUGGUGUAGGGGUAAAAUCCGUAGAGAUCACUAGGAAUACCUAAAGCGAAGGCGAUCUCCUGGAACAUUACUGACGCUAAGACGUGAAAGCGUGGGGAGCAAACAGGAUUAGAUACCCCCGUAGUC